This 460-nucleotide ribosomal RNA is filed under the name uncultured bacterium. RNAcentral's name for it is "partial 16S ribosomal RNA". It matches the Rfam family "Bacterial small subunit ribosomal RNA", at positions 338 to 795 of the family's 1533-position model. The record is from RNAcentral.
CCUACGGGUGGCAGCAGUGAGGAAUAUUAGUCAAUGGACGAGAGUCUGAACCAGCCAAGUAGCGUGAAGGAUGACUGCCCUAUGGGUUGUAAACUUCUUUUAUAAAGGAAUAAAACGAGGCACGUGUGCCUUUUUGCAUGUACUUUAUGAAUAAGGAUCGGCUAACUCCGUGCCAGCAGCCGCGGUAAUACGGAGGAUCCGAGCGUUAUCCGGAUUUAUUGGGUUUAAAGGGAGCGUAGAUGGGUUGUUAAGUCAGUUGUGAAAGUUUGCGGCUCAACCGUAAAAUUGCAAUUGAUACUGGCAGUCGUGAGUACAGUUGAGGUAGGCGGAAUUCGUGGUGUAGCGGUGAAAUGCUUAGAUAUCACGAAGAACCCCGAUUGCGAAGGCAGCUUACUAAACUGUGACUGACAUUGAUGCUCGAAAGUGUGGGUAUCAAACAGGAUUAGAUACCCUUGUAGUC